Long non-coding RNA from Gouania willdenowi (blunt-snouted clingfish), 1323 nucleotides. Ensembl lists it as uncharacterized. Lineage: Eukaryota; Metazoa; Chordata; Actinopteri; Blenniiformes; Gobiesocidae. The record is from Ensembl.
AUGCUGAGUUUAAAGCCAACAAUUGUUGUUUUUUGGAUCUAUUAUUGUUUGAUACAAGUCUCAGGAACGGAUAUCAAAAACAUUACCUGUCAUGACAUAAAGACCAACAAUGGAUACAAGUAUACACAUAACUGUGUUGACAAAGAGAUAUCUGUCAUCAAUUUAGCGGACAAUAUAGUCAUUGCUAAUAUUGACAGAAAUGAGCAACAGAAGUUGGACUAUGUAAAAGAAAUUAACGAAACACACAUUAUAUUGAAGACGUGCCUCUCAAUCAAAGUGGAAUGCUCGAGUAAUGGCGUCAGCGGAUAUACGUCAAAGACAACCAUUUUUCGGGUGUCUAAAACUAAAGAAAGGGAGGGCAAUUCUACGAGCACAGAUGUGUUACCAUGGAUCAUUGGCAUUUUAGUUACAAUCCUGAUCAUCAUACUUUCCAUGUGUUGCAUCUGUUGCAUCUAUUGUUGGUGGAAAAAAUCAAAGAAGCAGAAUUUGCCGCUAACCUUUAGUGGUUUUAUGACGUAUCUACGAACUGGCUUUUGCUUCCGAACACGUUCUUUGCCUGAGAGUGGAAGCAACCAUUCGCUGGGAUCUUACUCUAGGCGUGAAGUCCAAGGGGUCUCAGCAGAUUUGGAAGAAACUGGACAGAAUGGAGGGAUCAGAACUCCACGUGAACAUGGUGAAAAUGAUCCGGAGCACGUUAACAGACCCGAAAGUGUGCAAAUUCACAGAUCUUACUCUGGGCGUGAAGUCCAAGUGGUCUCAGCAGAUUUGGAAGAAACUGGACAGAAUGGAGAGAUCAGUAUUGAUUUCCAGUCUGAUGGCAACACAGCUCGACCCCGUUGUCUGGAGUCCAGCUUAAGCAAUAAGCACAUGCUGCCAACUGAAAAGGACUUGGACUUGGAUGAUGAGGAAGAGCAACAGGCUGAAAGGCGAUUGCUGCUGUCGGAUCAGGGAGGUGCCAUAUCAUGUGGAACGAUGGCAUUGGUCUCCAACCCUCCCUCUGAUACUGAUGUGCCCAAACGGGCAUCCACAGCAGCCGUAAGACUCAGAUUUGAAUCAUUUCAUCUUUUUUACACAUUAUCGCUGUUUUUUUUGUUUGUUUGUUGUUUUUUUAACGUAUUGACCCUCCUUCCUUUUCCUUUUAUUCCAGGCUUGACGUGGAGGCAACACACUACAUACAGUACCUACAAGUUAUAUAUUAUAUAGAUACAUACAAUGAAUAACAGAUUAUAUAUAGCAUAUAAAUAUUAUUAUAAAUAUUUACAUGAAUACAUGUAAAACAUUAUAUCAUUAAUAAAUAAGCUGUAUGUGGGGUUUUAGAUGACA